This 397-nucleotide ribosomal RNA is filed under the name uncultured bacterium. RNAcentral's name for it is "partial 16S ribosomal RNA". It matches the Rfam family "Bacterial small subunit ribosomal RNA", at positions 359 to 774 of the family's 1533-position model. The record is from RNAcentral.
GAAUAUUGCACAAUGGGCGAAAGCCUGAUGCAGCAACGCCGCGUGAGUGAUGAAGGCCUUCGGGUCGAAAAACUCUGUCCUCAAGGAAGAUAAUGACGGUACUUGAGGAGGAAGCCCCGGCUAACUACGUGCCAGCAGCCGCGGCAAUACGUAGGGGGCUAGCGUUAUCCGUAUUUACUGGGCGUAAAGGGUGCGUAGGUGGUUUCUUAAGUGAGAAGUGAAAGGCUACGGAUCAACCGUAGUAAGCUUUUGAAACUGGGAAACUUGAGUGCAGGAGAGGAAAGUGGAAUUCCUAGUGUAGCGGUGAAAUGCGUAGAUAUUAGGAGGAACACCAGUAGCGAAGGCGGCUUUCUGGACUGUAACUGACACUGAGGCACGAAAGCGUGGGGAGCAAACA